GUAGAACUCCCUGACCUAGGUUAUACAUGUGAGAAAUGUGAUACAUUUGCUUAUGCGUUGGGGUUUGGUUAUGAUCAUGUUACCAAUGACUACAAGGUGGUAAGAGUAGUACACACUUGGUCUCAUCCGUCGCCACCUCAUGUUGAUCUUUAUAAGUUAAGCACUGGUGUUUGGGAAGACAUUAGCCAUGUCUCUCUGUCUUACCUAUUCCUUGCCACUACAUCACAGGCAUAUGUGAAUGGAGCUUCUCAUUGGAUUGCUUCCAAAUGGGAUGUAUCAUCAUUGGUGAGUGUGAUUGUUUUAUUCAACAUGCAUGAUGAGACAUUCUCAGAUAUGAUAUUGCCGAGUAGUUUAAUCAGUGAGUCACAAACACAUUUUGAUGAAGUCUUCCUUUUUGCGUCAGAGGGAUGUCUUUGUUUGGUUGAUAAUAACUAUGACAAACGUGAACCUAUUAAGAUUUGGAUGAUGAAAGAGUAUGGUGUGCCAGACUCAUGGGAGAAACAGUUCAGCAUCCAAAAUUAUCACUUUGCACUACAUUUUCCUCUUCGUGAAGAUAUCUUUUGGACACCUUACCUUGGAACGGCUGCUCCAACUGAGUUUGAG
RNAcentral lists this unclassified non-coding RNA (603 nucleotides) under Hevea brasiliensis (rubber tree). The record is from RNAcentral. Lineage: Eukaryota; Viridiplantae; Streptophyta; Magnoliopsida; Malpighiales; Euphorbiaceae.